RNAcentral lists this ribosomal RNA (477 nucleotides) under uncultured bacterium. RNAcentral's name for it is "partial 16S ribosomal RNA". It matches the Rfam family "Bacterial small subunit ribosomal RNA", at positions 28 to 507 of the family's 1533-position model. The record is from RNAcentral.
GAUUAACGCUGGCGGCGUGCAUAACACAUGCAAGUCGAACGAUGACACUUAGUAGACUUCUUCGGAAAGACACUAAGCGGAUUAGUGGCGAACGGGUGAGUAACGCGUGAGUAACCUGCCUUACACAAGGGGAUAGCCUUUCGAUACGAAGAAUAAUACCCUAUAAAACCAUAAAAGCACAUGCUAGAAUGGUCAAAGUGAUAGCGGUGUAAGAUGGACUUGCGUCUGAUUAGCUAGUUGGUGAGAUAAAAGCUCACAAAGGCAACGAUCAGUAGCCGGCUUGAGAGAGUGGACGGCCACAUUGGGACUGAGACACGGCGCAGACUCCUGCGGAAGGCAGCAGUGGGGAAUUUGGCACAAUGGGGGAAACACUGAUGCAGCGACGCCGCGUGAUUUAGAAGGCCUUCGGGUUGUAAAAAUCUUUUGUAUAGGAAGAAUAUGACAGUACUAUACGAAUAAGGUCCGGCUAAUUACGUG